This is a long non-coding RNA of Manis pentadactyla (Chinese pangolin), 1200 nucleotides long. RefSeq lists it as uncharacterized. The transcript is spliced from 2 exons. Lineage: Eukaryota; Metazoa; Chordata; Mammalia; Pholidota; Manidae. The record is from RefSeq and is a predicted model, not a curated record.
CCCGCCUGGCUUCCGGUGCCACAGUGAGCGGCUCCUCCCGGAACUCAAAAGUCCUAAUUCAGGAUAGUGGCUGUUGCAGUGGUGGUGGGGCUUUGUGAGAUUCCUUGGGUCGGGCCCCCAAUCAGGUAGGUGCUAGUUUAACUUGUGGCUUCCUCCCGGGGUCAGCCGUGCGUCGAUUAUCGCUUCUGCAGGUCCCUUACCUUUCUAGGAAGUAAAAUACUGCCACCCUGGGACUGUGAGUCUUAAGUGCCUGCACUCAAGGGAAAGUUAAAUGGGGUGUAUGGGAGAAAAAUCACAUGUCGUUAACAGGCACAUAGCUAACAAGAAGGAAAAAAAUGCAACGGAAGAUGGCGAGAGAACCAGCUGGUACUGGGUGAGAAUCGCUUUCUCUUUCAAACGUCACUUCGUGUAGCAUUUGAAGAGAUUCUGAAGAGGAAAUGGAUUGGAUUUCUAAAUAUGAGAUUAAUUGAGCAUGCACUCAAUUUUUCCUUGGAACCAGCUUGCCAUCAGUGAACACAGCAGACAAAAAUCACUGAGUUCUACUGCACUUCUUCUGUUCUAGUAGAGAAGUUUAAAUUUUAUAUUGUUGGUAUUGUUGAUAUUUAAUAUGUAUCAUCCUAUAUCAGCAAACAAAAGUGAUACUGGUAUUGUGCCUAAUCUUACAAACACUGCAAAAUCAUGUUUGCUUUUUAAUAGCCUUAACUCUGGUAAUAAAAUAAUUGCUAAAUUAAGAUGAGAACAGAACAGUCUAGUACUGUAAGCUGGUGAAAGUAUCCUGGAAGGCAAUAAGCAACAGCUAUCAAUUUAAAUGUAUAAACUGUAUAACUUUGCAGGUUCUGGGGAUUUUGUCUAAGGAAUAAGUGAAAUAGUUAUGCAAAGGUGUUAGGUAUUAAAAAUAUAGAUAUUUAUCAAGCCCUAUAUAUAACAUGGAACACAUGGAAAUUAUUUACAUGUAAGGCAAUGAACAUUGGACAUUUCCAAAUUUGGAGUUAGGUCAAUAAAGGCAAUGCUAUAUAGCCAUUAUAAGUAAUAAUGUAGAUUUUGACAUGGAAAGAUACCUGCUAGGUGAAAAAAAAGAUCAUAAAAUGUCAUAUGUUAGGUAAUUCUGUCUUGAUUAGAUAAAAUUAGAAAUAAGCGUGUUAGAGUAUACAUACAUGUUACAUGAAUUGAAAAUAUUAAUAGACAAAAAAUUCAUUCAAA